UGACAGCCCCGUACACAAAAAUGCACAUGCUGUGAGCUCGAUGAGUAGGGCGGGACACGUGGUAUCCUGUCUGAAUAUGGGGGGACCAUCCUCCAAGGCUAAAUACUCCUGACUGACCGAUAGUGAACCAGUACCGUGAGGGAAAGGCGAAAAGAACCCCGGCGAGGGGAGUGAAAAAGAACCUGAAACCGUGUACGUACAAGCAGUGGGAGCACGCUUAGGCGUGUGACUGCGUACCUUUUGUAUAAUGGGUCAGCGACUUAUAUUCUGUAGCAAGGUUAACCGAAUAGGGGAGCCGAAGGGAAACCGAGUCUUAACUGGGCGUUAAGUUGCAGGGUAUAGACCCGAAACCCGGUGAUCUAGCCAUGGGCAGGUUGAAGGUUGGGUAACACUAACUGGAGGACCGAACCGACUAAUGUUGAAAAAUUAGCGGAUGACUUGUGGCUGGGGGUGAAAGGCCAAUCAAACCGGGAGAUAGCUGGUUCUCCCCGAAAGCUAUUUAGGUAGCGCCUCGUGAAUUCAUCUCCGGGGGUAGAGCACUGUUUCGGCAAGGGGGUCAUCCCGACUUACCAACCCGAUGCAAACUGCGAAUACCGGAGAAUGUUAUCACGGGAGACACACGGCGGGUGCUAACGUCCGUCGUGAAGAGGGAAACAACCCAGACCGCCAGCUAAGGUCCCAAAGUCAUGGUUAAGUGGGAAACGAUGUGGGAAGGCCCAGACAGCCAGGAUGUUGGCUUAGAAGCAGCCAUCAUUUAAAGAAAGCGUAAUAGCUCACUGGUCGAGUCGGCCUGCGCGGAAGAUGUAACGGGGCUAAACCAUGCACCGAAGCUGCGGCAGCGACGCUGAUGCGUUGUUGGGUAGGGGAGCGUUCUGUAAGCCUG
RNAcentral lists this ribosomal RNA (883 nucleotides) under Escherichia coli. RNAcentral describes it as "partial 23S ribosomal RNA". It matches the Rfam family "Bacterial large subunit ribosomal RNA", at positions 365 to 1251 of the family's 2925-position model. Lineage: Bacteria; Pseudomonadati; Pseudomonadota; Gammaproteobacteria; Enterobacterales; Enterobacteriaceae. The record is from RNAcentral.